RNAcentral lists this ribosomal RNA (509 nucleotides) under Klebsiella pneumoniae. RNAcentral's name for it is "bacterial SSU rRNA". It matches the Rfam family "Bacterial small subunit ribosomal RNA", at positions 37 to 534 of the family's 1533-position model. Lineage: Bacteria; Pseudomonadati; Pseudomonadota; Gammaproteobacteria; Enterobacterales; Enterobacteriaceae. The record is from RNAcentral.
GAGCAUUCCGGCAGCUUAACACAUGCAAGUCGAGCGGUAGCACAGAGAGCUUGCUCUCGGGUGACGAGCGGCGGACGGGUGAGUAAUGUCUGGGAAACUGCCUGAUGGAGGGGGAUAACUACUGGAAACGGUAGCUAAUACCGCAUAACGUCGCAAGACCAAAGUGGGGGACCUUCGGGCCUCAUGCCAUCAGAUGUGCCCAGAUGGGAUUAGCUAGUAGGUGGGGUAACGGCUCACCUAGGCGACGAUCCCUAGCUGGUCUGAGAGGAUGACCAGCCACACUGGAACUGAGACACGGUCCAGACUCCUACGGGAGGCAGCAGUGGGGAAUAUUGCACAAUGGGCGCAAGCCUGAUGCAGCCAUGCCGCGUGUGUGAAGAAGGCCUUCGGGUUGUAAAGCACUUUCAGCGGGAGGAAGGCGGUGAGGUUAAUAACCUUGUCGAUUGACGUUACCCGCAGAAGAAGCACCGGCUAACUCCGUGCCAGCAGCCGCGGUAAUACGGAGGGUG